AACAGGGAUUGCCUUAGUAGCGGCGAGUGAAGCGGCAAGAGCUCAAAUUUGAAAUCUGGUACCUUCGGUAUCCGAGUUGUAAUUUGUAGAAAGCAAUCUUGGAUUUGGCCUUUGUCUAUGUUCCUUGGAACAGGACGUCAUAGAGGGUGAGAAUCCCGUGCGAUGAGGUGUCCAUUUCUUUAUAAGAUGUUUUCGAAGAGUCGAGUUGUUUGGGAAUGCAGCUCUAAGUGGGUGGUAAAUUCCAUCUAAAGCUAAAUAUUGGCGAGAGACCGAUAGCGAACAAGUACUGUGAAGGAAAGAUGAAAAGAACUUUGAAAAGAGAGUGAAAAAGUACGUGAAAUUGUUGAAAGGGAAGGGUAUUCGAUCAGACUUGGUAUUUAGUUAUCAUUUCCCCUUGUGGGUUGUGCUCUAACUUUUUACUGGGCCAGCAUCAGUUUUGGUGGCAAGACAAUCGCAGUUGAAUGUAGCUCCUCGGAGUGUUAUAGCUUCUGUAGAUAUUGCCUAUCGGGACUGAGGUCUGCGGCUUUGCCUAGGAUGCUGGCGUAAUGAUCUAAUACCGCCCGCUUGAAACA
Molecule: ribosomal RNA, 572 nt
Filed under: Pichia cf. trehaloabstinens UWO(PS)99-304.4
Lineage: Eukaryota; Fungi; Ascomycota; Pichiomycetes; Pichiales; Pichiaceae
Description: LSU rRNA
Rfam family: Eukaryotic large subunit ribosomal RNA
Source: RNAcentral